This is a long non-coding RNA of Scylla paramamosain (green mud crab), 1410 nucleotides long. RefSeq lists it as uncharacterized. The record is from RefSeq and is a predicted model, not a curated record. The transcript has 2 exons. NCBI's taxonomy places the organism in Eukaryota, Metazoa, Arthropoda, Malacostraca, Decapoda, Portunidae.
UGUGAUCGUGGUGCUGGUGGCAAGCAGAGGCUGGCAAAAGAAGACAUACACUCAUAGGAAAUGUUUUCUUGAACUUUGUAAAUAAGAAAGAAGCAGAAAAUAUGAAUCACGCCACGUCUCUGUGGCUUUUGAAAAUAGUUCUUAUAUGAGAAUAUCAAACAUUUCAGAACAUGGGCGCGACAUUAUUAGAACCUUGAAAAAAAAAAAGAGUAAUGAUAACCUCCGUGAUCUCUGAAAAUAGUCCUUAUAAGAGUAUCAAGCAUUUCAGAACAUAAUCGCAGAUCAUCAACGGGAAAAUACCACUGCAAACCUGAAAAAAAAAACAAACUUCUGUGUCCUUUCAAAAUAAUCCUUAUAAAAUCACACAGCGAUUGAAAACAAGGGCGCAAAUCACUAAUGGGCAAACACCAAUGAGAACCUAAAAAUGAAUUAGCCAGUAACAAUGUAUGUGACCUUUAGAAGUAGUCCUUAUGAAGUCACAUAAUACAGCAUUUCAGAAUACGGGCACUGAUCAUAAAUGUGAAAAUAUCACUGAAAACCUGGAAAAAUAACCUGUCAUCUUUGAAAAUGGCACAAAACAUUUCAGAAUAUGUGCAUCGAUUAUGAAUAGAGAAAUGCCACACAAAAAAAAAAGACUAAACAAGUAGUCUGUAGUCCUUUUAAAUAGUCCUAAAAAACAGUAUAAUUUGCAGAACACGAGCGUGUGGCGUUGUGUACAAGUAGCUUUGCCUUGCUCUCUGAGUUUUCUCUGAGUUUUGUGGUUUAUUUUUCUUGCCUGUGUGCUGAAAUACCAGGGUGUGUUUUGGCUGUUUUGAGUGUUUGGUUGCUGUGUCAUUGGCCUGACCCAGGAGAAACCCGGAGCACCUGUAGCAUCGAGACCAAGAUCAUUCAUUCCCUCAGGGUUGUGUGAGUGAAGCCUCUCUGAGGGUGGUGGGAUGGCAGCCUUGUUCCUGUGCAAUGAGGGAACACAAAGGAGGUUUCCUUAUCUCUUGCUUAUUCUUGCAAGAAGAAAGUGUGCUCUUACUGAAAAUAGAGCAAGUAGUACACAGGCCAAAACUACUCAUGGCCCAGAAAGUAUUUGUAUAUAUCCAAGUUAUAAAAACAUGUUAAUUUUAUCAGCUCUGUUACCUCAGAAAUAUUUAACUUUUAUAAAUGUGUAUAGCAUGCAGAACAUAAGAUAUCACAAACCUAUCAAGAAACCCUAUUGGGCAUAUGGCAGUUUACUCAGUGCAGAAUCUACCUCAAGAUUUAGUUCAUUGCAGACAGGGCUUAUUAAUAGUGGUUUACAGAUCUGGCCACAAAUAUUAGGGAAACACAAAGGAAGAAAUGCAGUCCAUAAUUGCUUUUACUGUUCUGUGAGGCAUGCCAGUGACUUGGUCAAAGAAAGAAUUGCAAAGGAGAACAGAAAAA